RNAcentral lists this ribosomal RNA (443 nucleotides) under uncultured bacterium. Its description in RNAcentral is "partial 16S ribosomal RNA". It matches the Rfam family "Bacterial small subunit ribosomal RNA", at positions 338 to 795 of the family's 1533-position model. The record is from RNAcentral.
CCUACGGGUGGCAGCAGUGGGGAAUAUUGCACAAUGGGCGAAAGCCUGAUGCAGCAACGCCGCGUGAAGGAAGAAGGGUUUCGGCUCGUAAACUUCUAUCAACAGGGACGAAAGAAAUGACGGUACCUGAAUAAGAAGCCCCGGCUAACUACGUGCCAGCAGCCGCGGUAAUACGUAGGGGGCAAGCGUUAUCCGGAAUUACUGGGUGUAAAGGGUGAGUAGGCGGCAUGGUAAGCCAGAUGUGAAAGCCUUGGGCUUAACCCGAGGAUUGCAUUUGGAACUAUCAAGCUAGAUUACAGGAGAGGAAAGCGGAAUUCCUAGUGUAGCGGUGAAAUGCGUAGAUAGUAGGAAGAACCCCGAUUGCGAAGGCAGCUUACUAAACUGUGACUGACAUUGAUGCUCGAAAGUGUGGGUAUCAAACAGGAUUAGAUACCCCAGUAGUC